UAGAGCACUCUUUACGUAAGAAAACAGAAGAGAAAAGAGUGAGAGAACCACCCCUUGCACCCGUAGCCGCCGCCGACCAAGCCAUCACCGCCACCUUGUGCGCGCGCGAGAGAGAGAGAGAGGGAGACCUGCGAGAGAGAGAGCUCGAGUAGGAGGGAAGAGAGGGACGAGGACAGCAAGCUACUGAGCUCUGAACCUGCAAUCUUUUCUCCUUUUCAGACCAAGAACCCGAGAUGGUCGUGAAGAAAAUGGCGACGACUCAUUCUUGGGAGUUGAUGCUACGUGACGAGCCACUACAGAUGACGACUACACUUCUGAUGAAGAGGAAGAAGAUAAAGAGGAAGGGGCCAAGGAUAUGGUUGGGUUGUGAGACAUCCAUUUUUCUUUUGGGUUGAGAGUACCGAGUUUUGGAAGUAUUGAACCAUUACUUUAUUUUAGUUGAGAUAGUUUAACUUGAUGUAAUUUACUUUGAAGUUUUCUUCCGGAUAUUUAUUUCAUACUCUUUUCAAUGAUUAAUAAAGUUUGAGGUUUACGUUGA
Molecule: long non-coding RNA, 538 nt
Organism: Lotus japonicus
Lineage: Eukaryota; Viridiplantae; Streptophyta; Magnoliopsida; Fabales; Fabaceae
Exons: 2
Source: RefSeq, a predicted model, not a curated record